RNAcentral lists this ribosomal RNA (660 nucleotides) under uncultured bacterium. RNAcentral's name for it is "bacterial SSU rRNA". It matches the Rfam family "Bacterial small subunit ribosomal RNA", at positions 94 to 788 of the family's 1533-position model. The record is from RNAcentral.
AGUGGCGGACGGGUGAGUAACGCGUGAGAAUCUGCCUUGGGGUCGGGGACAACCACUGGAAACGGUGGCUAAUACCGGAUACGCCUUCGGGUAAAAGAUUUAUUGCCCUAAGAGGAGCUCGCGUCUGAUUAGCUAGUUGGUGAGGUAAGAGCUCACCAAGGCAGCGAUCAGUAGCUGGUCUGAGAGGACGAUCAGCCACACUGGGACUGAGACACGGCCCAGACUCCUACGGGAGGCAGCAGUGGGGAAUUUUCCGCAAUGGGCGAAAGCCUGACGGAGCAAGACCGCGUGAGGGAGGAAGGCUCUUGGGUUGUAAACCUCUUUUCUCAGGGAAGAAGCUCUGACGGUACCUGAGGAAUCAGCCUCGGCUAACUCCGUGCCAGCAGCCGCGGUAAUACGGAGGAGGCAAGCGUUAUCCGGAAUUAUUGGGCGUAAAGCGUCCGCAGGUGGCGAUUCAAGUCUGCUGUCAAAGCACGGGGCUUAACUCCGUAAAGGCAGUGGAAACUGAAUAGCUAGAGUGCCGUAGGGGUAGAGGGAAUUCCCGGUGUAGCGGUUAAAUGCGUAGAGAUCGGGAAGAACAUCGGUGGCGAAAGCGCUCUACUGGACGGCAACUGACACUCAGGGACGAAAGCUAGGGGAGCGAAUGGGAUUAGAUACCCC